Molecule: ribosomal RNA, 497 nt
Filed under: uncultured bacterium
Lineage: Bacteria
Description: partial 16S ribosomal RNA
Rfam family: Bacterial small subunit ribosomal RNA
Source: RNAcentral
GAUGAACGCUGGCGGCGUGCCUAAUACAUGCAAGUCGAGCGAACAGACGAGGAGCUUGCUCCUCUGACGUUAGCGGCGGACGGGUGAGUAACACGUGGAUAACCUACCUAUAAGACUGGGAUAACUUCGGGAAACCGGAGCUAAUACCGGAUAAUAUAUUGAACCGCAUGGUUCAAUAGUGAAGGACGGUUUUGCUGUCACUUAUAGAUGGAUCCGCGCCGCAUUAGCUAGUUGGUAAGGUAACGGCUUACCAAGGCAACGAUGCGUAGCCGACCUGAGAGGGUGAUCGGCCACACUGGAACUGAGACACGGUCCAGACUCCUACGUGAGGCAGCAGUAGGGAAUCUUCCGCAAUGGGCGAAAGCCUGACGGAGCAACGCCGCGUGAGUGAUGAAGGUCUUCGGAUCGUAAAACUCUGUUAUUAGGGAAGAACAAAUGUGUAAGUAACUAUGCACGUCUUGACGGUACCUAAUCAGAAAGCCACGGCUAACUACGUG